Molecule: ribosomal RNA, 245 nt
Filed under: uncultured bacterium
Lineage: Bacteria
Description: partial 16S ribosomal RNA
Rfam family: Bacterial small subunit ribosomal RNA
Source: RNAcentral
UGCUCGAGUGGCGAACGGGUGAGUAACACGUGAGUAACCUGCCCUUGACUUUGGGAUAACUUCAGGAAACUGGGGCUAAUACCGGAUAGGAGCUCCUGCUGCAUGGUGGGGGUUGGAAAGUUUCGGCGGUUGGGGAUGGACUCGCGGCUUAUCAGCUUGUUGGUGGGGUAGUGGCUUACCAAGGCUUUGACGGGUAGCCGGCCUGAGAGGGUGACCGGCCACAUUAGGACUGAGAUACGGCCCAG